GGAUUACAGGCAUGAGCCACGGUGCUUGGACGGUAUUUUUUUUUUAAUUGCGCACACUGCUCCAGUGUUGGCUAGUGGAAGGUUUUUAAGUUGUCUCUUGUAUCAUUUUGAAAUACCUCCAUAAUGAAAGUUUGAUGUUGUUGUGUGGUCGGUUGGUUUUGUUGUUGUUUGGCAUUUUCUUUUGUUCAGUCACUACUAUGUGCUCCAGUCUGUGUAUUUAAUUGUGCUCCAGGCUAAUUGGGUAAUUUUAUAAUUUCUACUAAUGUUUCCAACACCAGGUAACCUAAUCCAGCACCAUCUAAAUGGAUCCACUCAUUCUCCUUUGUCUGUAAUCUAGCGCUCUCCCUGCCAGCAAGCUGACGUUGUUAAUUUAAUCAUACUUCCUGAACAAGGUAUGUUGCUAUGUAAGAAAAUACAAGUUGAAAAGGUCAAAAUACUGUGUAAUUCCAUUUAUAUGACUCUCUUGAAAAGGAAAAAGUGUAGUGAUAGUAAAGAGUUCAGUGGUAACAAGGGGCUUGGGAGAGAGAAAGGUGAAAUCAGUGAACUACCGAAGAUUUCUUUUGGGCAGUGGAAUUGCUCUCCUCGAUACUGUAAUGGUGAAUACAUGAUCAUGUUUUCCAAAUCCUGAAGAACUUUGUAACACAAAGAGUGUACCUAAAUUAUGCAAAUUAAAAACUUUAUUUAGUAGGUAACAAGUUUGCCUUUUCACAGUAUUUUACCUUUUCCAACUUAUAUUUUUUCACAAUGUGCUUUUUAGAUUUUUGAAAUACACCUCAUGGUUUUUAGAUUUGCCUUCACCUAUUUUUUGUAAGACAGGUGAGUCACAGAACUGGGGCUUAUCCUGAGAGGGUUGUUAGCUUUGUCCAGGAAAGAAUUUAAGGACAAGUGGGUGAUGUUAGACUGCAAUAUUUUAUUGAAUGGUACUGCUCCUAGCAGAGCAGGGCUAACUCUUAAGCAGUGUGUUCAGAGUUGGCAACAUAUAGGCCUCUUGGCAACUGUAUUUAUAUGCAUUCAAGCCCACUUUUAAUUAUAUGCAAAUUGAAGGGCAGGUCAAUGCAAAUUGAGGCAGGAAAGGGACAGUGGCUUCUAGGUUGCCUGCAUGGAAAGGGGAAGUAACGUCUGAGUUGUGGCCAUGGAAUUUGUGAACAGUUAUGCGGUUGGUAGGAGUGUCUUAUGUGAGUGACAGAUGAAGACUGCCAGGGAUCACAGUUGCCGCGAUGUACUGGCUUCUGCCAGUUUUUUCACUUAUCCUGUCUGGAGCAGAUCCUGUUUUGGUCAUCAAGGUUGUGAAACCAGAAAACAAGUCCUUCCGGUCUCCUACCUCAUAAUGACAAAAGACACUGGGCAUAUUUUCAUGUGAUUUUGGAUCUGACUAUGGCUGUCUUUUGAGAAUUGGCUAUUUAAGAUUUUGCCAUUUUUGAUUGGGAUAUUUGCCUUUUUAAUUUUGAAUUGUAAGACAUUGCAUAUUCUGGAUAAUAGACCAUUAUCACCUGUGAAAUUUGCAAUUUUCAGAUGUUUUCUGCCAUUCUUUGGGUGCCUGUUCAUAUUUGUUGGUGGACUUUAAAUUGCAAAAGGUUUUAAUUCUAAUGAAGUUUAAUAUUUCUAUAUUUUCUUCUUUUCUUUGUGAACACUGUUUAACCAGAGACCACAAAGAUGUAUUCCUAUGUUCCUUUUUAUGGGUGGGGCCUGUUUACCUCUUAUAUUUAGAUGUAUGAUCAUUUUGAGUCUGUUAUGUUUCUGGUGUGAAGCAAGAGUCUAACUUGCAUGUGGAGAUGCACUUGCCCCAGAAACAUUUGACAAUAAAAUUUUGCUUCAUACCUAAUUUAUUUGGCCACAUUAUAAAAGCAUUUCACCGUAAAUGUAAGGAUUCAUUUUUGAGCAUUAUAUUCUACUCCAUUGAUCAAUACAUAUAUCCCUAUACUAGUACCACAAAUCUUGAUUACUAUUACUUUGUAGUAAGUUUUGAAAUCAGGAAGUAUAUGUCUACUAUGGAAACCCUUUUUGUCCUUCUCAAGAGUAUUUUGGCUGCUCAGGAUCUAUAUUAUAUAUAAUUUUAGGAUGACCUUCUAAAUUUAGGGGAAGGUAAUGCCACCUGAGGUUUUGAGAGAAGUUGCAUUAAUUCUAUAGAUCCAUUCGGAAAAUACCGCCUAGCUAACAAUAUUAACCCUUCUAAACAAUGAGCAUUCAAAGAUUUUCUUUUAAUUUUGUUCAAUAUGCAUUCUAUAGUUUUUAGUGUAUAUAUUUUGCGCUUAAUUUGAUAAGCUUGUUCCUAAGUAUUUUUGAUGCCAUCUCAAUUGGAAUGGUUUUCUGAGUUUUGUUUUUAGAUUGCUAGUAUCAAGACAUUUAAAAUAUUUUAUAUUAACAUUAUAUACUGCACACUUUUUUGAACUCAUCUUUAAAUUCUAAACAUAUUUGAUUAGAGUUCUUUGGACUUUUAAUACAUAAGAUCAUGUCAUUUACAAAUAGUCAGAGUUUGACUUCCUUUCCAUCCUAGAAACAUUAUAUUUAUUUUUCUAAAUGAAUUGCCCUGUCUACAUUCUCCAGUACAAUGUUGCAAACAAGUGUCAACAGUGGAAAUAUUUGGCUUGUUUCUAAUAUCAAAUAAAUUAGUGAACCUUUCAGAUACUUAUGAUGAUAUGUGAGUUUUUCACAGAUGCUCUUUGAAAUGAAGAAAGUUAUCUUAUCUGCCUAAUUUGCUGCAUGUUUUUAUAAUACUGAAUCUGGGAAUUUUCAAGUACUUGUUUGACACCUUUACUGUCACCUAAUUUUUGUAGGACAGGUGAGUCACAGAAUUGGGGUUUUUCCUGAGAGGGUUAUUAGCUUUUCAUAUUAACCUUUGAGAUGAUUGUAUAGUUUUUAUUCUUUGUUAAUAUAGUGUAUGACAUUAAUUGUAUCUUAUGUUGAACCAAAUUUGCGUUCCUGAGGUAAAUACCCUUUGCCAUAGUGUAUAAUGCUUUCUACAUGUUGCUGAUUUCAUUUGAUAAUAUUUCCCUGGUGAUUUUUGUCUCUAUAUUUGUAAGGCAUAUUGGUCUUCAUUUUCCUUAUUUGAAAUGUCUUUGUCUAGUUGUUCAAUCAGGGUAAACUAAUCCAUAAUAUACAAUGGUAAGUGAUCUAUUUUCUACUUAUUUAUUAUUAUUGUAUUGUUUUGAAAUAUUUUUGAUAAAUUAGUAUUAAUUUUAAGUGAUUUUAAUAACACACCAGUGAGUUCCUGAUGAGGGCAGGGAAGUGAAUCCUAAGAACAAUCAUGUGAGUUUGGAAGGAGACCCUUCCCCAGCUGAGCCUCAGCCUGAGCUAUCACCUACAUCUAGACCGAAGACCCAGAGAAACUGAAUUGUUCAGGACCAUGCGCUCUGUUGAUACUCACAUGGUAGAAUUAUAUUUCUCUUGGCCAACCCUAAAGCCAUCAAAAUAGCAGGUUUGGAAUAAUUCAGUGGUGAAGUCUUCUGGAGCUGAGCAGUCAUGUGAGCUUGGAAGAGGAUCCUUUCCCAGCUGAUCCUUCAGGUCAGACCUCAGUCUCGGUCAUCAUCGACAUCUGGAUUCCUGACCCAGAGAAACUAAUUAAGGAUCAUUAUUAAGUUGUUAAUGGGUCAAGAGAAAGUUACCACUGAAGUCUUCUCUACCUGGGCAACAAUUGACUCCUAACAACCACUAUAAGCUUGAAAGAUGAUCCCUCCCCAGCUAAUUCUUCAGGUGUCGGUGGGAUCCAAGGAUCUGAAAAUUCACUGUGGCCAGCUCACGGCCGCCUGGCAUCAAUGCAACCACAUGGUGUGUUUUAUGGAGGAGAAUGUGGUCUCUCUAUUGAUGAGCAGUUCGUGUGGACUCGAGAAGGUUGUGUGUUCUGCCAUCGAUAUGGUUUGACUGUGUCCGCACCCAGAUCUCAACUUGAAUUGCAUCUCCCAGAAUCCCCACGUGUUGUGGGAGCAACCCAGUGAGAGGCAUUAGAAGGUACUCCAGGCAAAAUUUUCAUCACUCCCUGCCAAAGCCUAGUAUCCACCAUUUCUUCAAAGCUUCCUAGUUUAUUUCAUCAGAAAGUGGAAUUAGAAAUGAAGAUCUGCCCACCAAGUGUACCUCUUGCUACUGGAGUGUCUGUAGAUUCAAGGCCUUCUCAGCUGACACAAAAAAAGAAAUAGUCUCACUCUGUUGCCCAGGCUGGAAUGCAGUGGUGUGAUCUCAC
Chlorocebus sabaeus (green monkey) is the source of this 4174-nucleotide non-coding RNA. NCBI's taxonomy places the organism in Eukaryota, Metazoa, Chordata, Mammalia, Primates, Cercopithecidae. The record is from RefSeq and is a predicted model, not a curated record.